AAAACUAAAGCGUCUCCUUUUUGAAAUUGUGACCUUCCGAGGCGUGAAACUACCGGACGAGGCGUCAAAGCAGGCAACACAAAGCACAUGUGUACGAGCCGAGCAGCUGCCCGCCAUGCGCGGAAGACGCCGAGCGGAGGUGUGGAAUGGAUUCGAUGCGCCCCGGUCGUCCUUAGGACAGCGUUGUCUUCGAGGUCCACGCAUGAACCGGGGCGGAUGAGAGCACAGCUGUUGUGACAUAAAUUUCUCCAAGGAAUGCCUGAGUUGGAGUCUAAAAGAGCAUGACCACAGAUGACAAAUGGGUGGUCGGGAGGACUGUUUGUGGUCGUGUGAAAAGACACGUUGAAGUGAGAAGAAGAGCGUUGCAGGGAGUGUCAGAGCUGUUUACAGCAGAGCAUAAAUGAAAUUGCACCCCAGAAGAAGCAGAGUAGGUGUGACCGUGUUCUUGAUGGCCCAACACGGCUUCAUGAAGAUGAAAUAUGAUCCCGAACGGAGGAGCGAUGGCGUCAAAACAAAGGCACGAAUGCACACGCACGAAAGGAAACACAAGCUCGGACAUAUUCAGGCGGCGAGCUGCAGUUAGAUUUAUGGAGCAGGAUUGGGAGGAAGAUUUAAUACUUCAAACACACCUGGGAAGUAGACCAAGGAGGCCUGUAGGGAACACAAAGGCCAGCAUUGUGCGCUCGGGCAAGCAGGUGAGCACAAAUUAUUCGUUAGAUUAAAAAUCAUUUGUCAUCCAUCAACAACGAAAUGUCCGCUUGGGACU
Long non-coding RNA from Hippocampus comes (tiger tail seahorse), 766 nucleotides. RefSeq lists it as uncharacterized. The transcript is spliced from 4 exons. The record is from RefSeq and is a predicted model, not a curated record. NCBI's taxonomy places the organism in Eukaryota, Metazoa, Chordata, Actinopteri, Syngnathiformes, Syngnathidae.